This 497-nucleotide ribosomal RNA is filed under the name uncultured bacterium. RNAcentral describes it as "partial 16S ribosomal RNA". It matches the Rfam family "Bacterial small subunit ribosomal RNA", at positions 28 to 507 of the family's 1533-position model. The record is from RNAcentral.
GACGAACGCUGGCGGCGUGCCUAAUACAUGCAAGUUGAGCGAUGAAGAUUGGUGCUUGCACCAAUUUGAAGAGCAGCGAACGGGUGAGUAACGCGUGGGGAAUCUGCCUUUGAGCGGGGGACAACAUUUGGAAACGAAUGCUAAUACCGCAUAAUAACUUUAAACAUAAGUUUUAAGUUUGAAAGAUGCAAUUGCAUCACUCAAAGAUGAUCCCGCGUUGUAUUAACUAGUUGGUGAGGUAAAGGCUCACCAAGGCGAAGAUACAUAGCCGACCUGAGAGGGGGGUCGGCCACAUUGGGACUGAGACACGGCCCCAACUCCUUCGGGAAGCAGCAGUAGGGGAUCGUCGGCGAUGGACGAAAGUCUGACCGAGCAACGGCGCGGGGAUGGAGAAGGGUUUCGGAUCGUAAAACUCUGUUGGUAGAGGAGAAAGUUGGUGAGAAUGGAAAACUCAUCAAGUGACGGUAACUACACAGAAAGGGACGGCUAACUACGUG